AGUGAACGCUGGCGGUAGGCCUAACACAUGCAAGUCGAACGGCAGCACAGUAAGAGCUUGCUCUUACGGGUGGCGAGUGGCGGACGGGUGAGGAAUACAUCGGACUCUACUUUUUCGUGGGGGAUAACGUAGGGAAACUUACGCUAAUACCGCAUACGACCUACGGGUGAAAGCAGGGGAUCUUCGGACCUUGCGCGAUUGAAUGAGCCGAUGUCGGAUUAGCUAGUUGGCGGGGUAAAGGCCCACCAAGGCGACGAUCCGUAGCUGGUCUGAGAGGAUGAUCAGCCACACUGGAACUGAGACACGGUCCAGACUCCUACGGGAGGCAGCAGUGGGGAAUAUUGGACAAUGGGCGCAGGCCUGAUCCAGCCAUACCGCGUGGGUGAAGAAGGCCUUCGGGUUGUAAAGCCCUUUUGUUGGGAAAGAAAAGCAGCAGGUUAAUACCCCGCUGUUCUGACGGUACCCAAAGAAUAAGCACCGGCUAACUUCGUG
Molecule: ribosomal RNA, 492 nt
Filed under: uncultured bacterium
Lineage: Bacteria
Description: partial 16S ribosomal RNA
Rfam family: Bacterial small subunit ribosomal RNA
Source: RNAcentral